UUGAAUUUAGAGACUGAAAGGUUUUCGAAUUCCACACUGUGUUUUUAAGCGUCUGACCGUUUAAUUACGAGAUGAUGUGCAAACCUGUUCAUACCACGUAUGAAAUUAAACAAACAAAAACUA
Molecule: unclassified non-coding RNA, 123 nt
Filed under: soil metagenome
Description: partial internal transcribed spacer 1
Source: RNAcentral